GCCUUCGUGGUGUAAUGGUCAGCACACUGAGCCGGUAUUUCAGAGCCCCGUGGUUCGAUCCCCGGCGAAGGCA
RNAcentral lists this transfer RNA (73 nucleotides) under Stegodyphus mimosarum. It matches the Rfam family "tRNA". From Rfam's summary of the family: Transfer RNA (tRNA) molecules are approximately 80 nucleotides in length. Their secondary structure includes four short double-helical elements and three loops (D, anti-codon, and T loops). The record is from Rfam by way of RNAcentral. Lineage: Eukaryota; Metazoa; Arthropoda; Arachnida; Araneae; Eresidae.